UACAGAGGUCUCAAGCGUUGUUCGGAUUCAUUGGGCGUAAAGAGCUCGUAGGCGGUUUGUCGCGUCUGCUGUGAAAAUCCAGGGCUUAACCCUGGACCUGCAGUGGGUACGGGCAGACUGGAGUGCGGUAGGGGAGAUCGGAAUUCCUGGUGUAGCGGUGAAAUGCGCAGAUAUCAGGAGGAACACCGGUGGCGAAGGCGGAUCUCUGGGCCGUAACUGACGCUGAGGAGCGAAAGCAUGGGGAGCGAACAGG
RNAcentral lists this ribosomal RNA (253 nucleotides) under uncultured bacterium. RNAcentral's name for it is "partial 16S ribosomal RNA". It matches the Rfam family "Bacterial small subunit ribosomal RNA", at positions 524 to 776 of the family's 1533-position model. The record is from RNAcentral.